GAGAGUGCGCACUUCUCUCCUCAAACGGCGGCAUGGCAUGUUUCCCGGCCCUUCCCUGCCUCUCUUCUUAUUCUAGGAUUCUGGGGCGCCAGGUCUCGCAUGUGUUGGUCUGUGAGUGGAAGCUUCAGUAAUGGUGGAACAGGAGAAAACCAGAAGAGGAGAACCAAGAGUCCCAGGAGACGCUAUCAUGUGAAACCUCAAGGUCCGAAGUGCCUAGAACAGUGUCCUGUAUAUGGGAGACAUUCAAGACACAUUUACUGAAUGAAUAAAUGAAUGAAUGGCUCUCAAGUCAAGCUGGCUGGGUUCACAGUCUGCCCCUGCCAUCUACUAGCAAUGUGAUGCUUCCCAGGCCUUGCCUCCAGCACAACGGAUGCAUUUCAGGGGCAGCAGCUGCACUU
Molecule: long non-coding RNA, 398 nt
Organism: Lynx canadensis (Canada lynx)
Lineage: Eukaryota; Metazoa; Chordata; Mammalia; Carnivora; Felidae
Exons: 4
Source: RefSeq, a predicted model, not a curated record